This is a non-coding RNA of Chlorocebus sabaeus (green monkey), 5648 nucleotides long. The record is from RefSeq and is a predicted model, not a curated record. NCBI's taxonomy places the organism in Eukaryota, Metazoa, Chordata, Mammalia, Primates, Cercopithecidae.
UGUGGAACGGUGAGAAGAACAGCGUGACUAAGGCACAGAAGGCUAAGGGAUGCCCUGCAGUACUUUUGUAGGGUUGGAGGCCAGCUUUGAGAGAAGGAACCAUUGCAUUAGAGAAUGGGAACAUGCCUUAGGAUACAGAAAUGGCAAAUCCGUGAGACAGUUUGAAGUGAGAAUACUAGAAACAUUCUCACCAAACAAGGUGUGUCUUGGUGCCUGCUGUAUCGCAGGCUCCGUGAGAUGCUGGAGUCAGCACUGAACAAACAGUGCUUGUGGAAAUGCGUUUCGUUGGGGGGAGGGAUUUUUCUGCUGACUCUAGCUAUUAGUAAGAAUCAAAAAAAGAAAUGAGGUAAAUUGUUGGGAACAGGCCCCCAAAUCUGGCCAUAAACUGGCCCCAAAACUGGCCAUAAACAAAAUCUCUGCAGCACUGUGACAUGCUCGUGGUGGCCAUGACACCCACGCUGGAAGGCUGUCAGUUUACUGGAAUGAGGGCAAGGAACACCUGGCCCACCCAGGGCGGAAAACCGCUUAAGGGUUUCCUAAACCACAAACAGUAGCAUGAGCAAUCUGUGCUUAAGAACAUGUUCCUGCUGCAGAUAACUAGCCAGACCCAUCCCUUUGUUUCCCAUAAGGAAUACUUUUAGUAAAUCUUAUGACUGGCUUGUUGUCAGUAAAUACGUGGGUAAAUCUCUGUUCGAGGCUCUCAGCUCUGAAGGCUGUGAGAUCCCUGAUUUCCCACCCCACGCGCUAUAUUUCUGUGUGUGUGUCUUUAAUUCCUCUAGCGCUGCUGGGUUAGGGUCUCCACGACCAAGCUGGUCUCAGCAAGCAGCGCCCAUAUGUGGGGUUCAGACCCAGGUCAAAGGGUCACUGGAGUGACGGAGAACAUGCAACUAAGCUAGAGGACACCCGAGUACUCUUAAGCCAUCCCCAUGGUGAAUAAGAAGGGGAGCUCAGAAGCAUCAUGGUAACAAUGGGACAAGUGUGGGCUCUGGUUCGUUACCUUUUCACGCUAAUAAUAAGGGGGAAGGAGAGUAUAACGAAGUAACAGAAGAAGUAACAGAGCAGGCUUGUUUGCCAGCUAAAGCUAAAGUGGCAAAGGAGGGAGAGGUUCAUCCCUACCCUUCUGUACCCCCUCCUUAUUUUGAAGAAAAAGAGUGACCUGACCCUCCAGAUCUUUAUUUUCCGGAGGACACUGGGCGACAAGUAGUUGCUCCAGUGACUGUUCGAGCAGCGCCUCGAGCGACCGCUCUCAGUUCUAUUCAGGCAGGAAUUCAGCAAGUUAGAAGAGAGGGUGAUAGAGAAGCUUGUCAGUUCCCUGUUAGAACACACCCCACAGGUCAACAGGGAAAUAUUUUAGCUGCAUUUGAGCCUUUCCCUUUAAAUUACUUAAAGAGUCUAAACAGGCUGUCAAUGAACAUGGACCAGGUUCUCCUUUUGUAAUGGGACUGCUAAAGAAUGUUGCUGUUUCCAGUCGGAUGAUUCCUACUGGCUGGGACGCUCUUACUCGAGCUCAGUUCUUAAAAUUUAAAACUUGCUGGGCAGAUGAAGUUUCCAUUCAGGCUGCUUGCAACGCCCAGGCCCAACCUCAAAUUAAUGUGACUGCAGACCGACUUUUAGGGGUCGCGGCUGGGCUGGUUUAGAUGCACAAGUGGUCAUGCAGGAUGAUGCCAUAGAGCCGCUUAGAGGAGUGUGCAUUAGAGCUUGGGAAAAAAAUCACUUCAGGUGGAGAACAGUACCCUUCCUUUAGUGCAAUUAAAACAGGGACCAAAAGAACCGUAUGCAGAUUUUAUAGCUCAGUUAUAGGACUCUCUUAAAAAGGUGAUUGCGGUUUUGGCUGCUCAGGGUAUAGUUUUGCGGUUAUUAGCUUUCGACAGUGCUAAUCCUGGCUGCCAGGCUGCUCUGCGACCUAUUAGAGAGAAAGCACAUUUAGUUGAUUAUAUCAAGGCCUGUGAUGGUAUCGGAGGUAAUAAAGCUAAAGCUACAUUGUUGGCACAGGCAGUGAUGGGACUGAGAGUGGAUAAAGGAAAUCCUCUGUUCUCUGGAGCUUGUUUUAACUGUGGGAAGCGUGGUCAUACUAAACAAGAAAGUAGAAAAAAUCAGCGAAUCAGGCUGCCAGACGGGGAAAAAAGAAAACUGCAGAGCCUGAAAUAUGUCCAAAAUGUCAAAGGAAAACAUUGGGCCGAUCACUCACUCUAAGUUUGAUAAAGAUGGGAACCCAAUUUCGGGAAAUGCCGUGAGGAGCCCGUCCUGGGCUCCGUUCCAAACCAGGGCAUUUCUGGCUCAGGCCACUCCUUCACCCCUGUACAAUGUUUGUCCCCCACCACAGCCAGUGGUGCCACAGUAGAUUUAUGCUGCACAAUAGCUGUGAGUCUUCUGCCUGGGGAGCCCCUGCAAAAGGUCCCAACAGGAGUCUGUGGACGCUUGCCAGCAAGGACAAUAGGAUUACUUUUAGGAAGAUUUAGUUUAAAUUUAAAAGGGGUACAAAUACAUGCAGGAGUCAUUGAUUCAGAUUACAAUGGGGAAAUUCAAAUUAUCAUAUCUACUUCUGUUCCCUGGAAAGGGGCACCAGGAGAGCGCAUAGCACAGCUCCUGAUUGUGCCGUAUGUGGGAACGGGGAAAAGUGAAACUAAACGAACAGGAGGAUUUGGAAGCACAAAUAAACAAGGCAGAGCAGCUUAUUGGGUGAAUCAAAUUACUGAUAAACGUCCUACCUGUGAAAUAACUAUUCAGGGAAAGAAAUUUAAAGGUUUGGUAAAUACAGGAGCGGACAUUUCAAUCAUUUCUCUACAGCCCUGGCCAUCCGUGUGGCCAAUUCAGCCUGCUCACUUUAACAUAGUUGGAGUUGGUCAAAGUAGUUAUAUUUUACAUUGUGAAGGGCCCAGUGGACAACCUGGGACUACUCAACCAAUUAUAACUUCUGUACCUACACAUUUAUGGGGGAGAGAUUUAUUACAACAAUGGGGAGCACAAGUUCUAAUUCCAGAACAAUUAUAUAGCCCUCAGAGUCAGCAUAUGAUACAUGAAAUGGGGUAUGUCCCUGGUAUGGGACUAGGAAAACAUUUCCAAGCUUUGAAAGAACUGCUUGAAGCGGGGAGACAAAGUUCCCGCCAAGGUUUAGGGUAUCAUUUUUGAUGGCGGCCAUUGUUAAGCCACCAGAACCUAUACCUUUAAAAUGGUUAACAGAGAAGCCAGUUUGAAUAGAACAAUGGCCGCUAAGUAAAGAGAAACUGGAGACUUUAGAGGACUUAGUUAAUGAACAAUUAGAAGAGGGACACAUAGCUCCAACAUUUUCCCCUUGUAAUUCUCCAGUUUUUGUAAUUAAGAAAAAAAUCGGGUAAAUGGAGAAUGUUAACUGACUUAAGAUCCAUUAAUUCAGUUAUACAACCUAUGGGAACAUGACAGCCAGGAUUGCCUUCUCCUGCUAUGAUUCCAAAAAAUUGGCCUUUAAUAGUCGUAGAUUUAUUAAAAGACUAUUUCUUUACUAUCCCCUUAGCUGAGCAAGAUUGUGAAUGGUUUCCAUUUACAAUUCCUGCAAUAAACAACCUGCAGCUUGCUAAGCAUUUUCAUUGGAAAGUGUUGCCAAAAGUCAGGUUAAACAGUCCAACAAUUUGCCAGACAUAUGUAGGGCAAGCAAUUGAACCUACUCCUAAAAAAUUUUCACAGUGUUACAUUAUUCAUUAUAUGGACAAUAUACUUUGUGCUUCCCCCACUUGAGAAAUAUUACUCCAAUGUUAUGAUCACUUGCAAAAUUCAAUUUCUGGUGCUGGUUUAAUUACAGGUCCUGACAAAAUUCAGACUACUACUCCUUACUCCUACUUGGGGACCUUAGUAAAUGACACUACCAUUGUGCCACAGAAAGUAGCCAUACGUAGGGAUCAAUUAAAAACAUUAAAUGACUUUCAAAAAUUACUAGGGGACAUUAACAGGAUACGACCUGCUCUAGGCAUUCCUACCUAUGCCACGAGUAAUCUAUGUUCUAUCCUUAGAGGAGAUCCUAGUCACACUAGCCCUCGGCAGUUAACGAAAGAAGCUGAGGCAGAGCUGCAGCUAAUCAAAAAGCAAGGCCAUAAAGCUCAAAUAAAUAGACUAGAUCCAGAGAAGACUCUAGAUUUGCUCAUUUUUCCAACUCGCGUUCACCUGCUGGUGUUAGUGUCCAACAACAAGAUCUUGUAGAGCAGCUUUCCCUCCACAUCCUGAUCCAUGGUGUAGAGCGGCUCCCCCCCCACAUCCUGAUCCAUGGUGUAGAGCGGCUUUCCCUCCACAUCCUGAUCCGUGGUGUAGAGCGGCUUUCCCUCCACAUCCCGAUCCGUGGUGUAGAGCGGCUUUCCCUCCACAUCCCGAUCCAUGGUGUAGAGCGGCUUUCCCCCGCAUCCUCAAUUCACGGCGUAGAGCGGCUUCCCCCCCGCACCCUGAUCCACAGUGUAGAGAGGCUUUCCCCCGCGUCCCAAUCCGCAACGUAGAGCGGCUUUCCCUCCACAUCCUAAUUCACGGACUCUGACCCCUCAUUUGGAUCAAAUCGCUACUGUGAUAGGAAAUGGGAGAACUAGGAUUGUUAAAUUACAUGGAUAUGAUCCUGGAAAAAUUAUUGUCCCUCUCAUGAAGGCACAAAUACAGCAAGAUUUUGCAAAUAGUAUUACUUGGCAAACCCAUUUAGCUGACUUUGUGGGUAUUCUCGAUAAUCAUUUUCCUAAGAUGAAACUUUCAAUUUUUGAAAUUAACUAAUUGGAUUCUCCCUAAAAUAACUAAAUUUAAACCAAUUGCAGGUGCUGGAAUGUUUUUACAGAUGAGCCUAGUAAUGGUAAAGCUUCUUAUUCUGGCUCGAAAGGAGGAGUUAAUUCUCAAGGAUUGGAACCCAGUUCUCAAGCUCUAGCUACAUUUUUCUCUACAUGGAAUAUUAAACACGUUACUGGCAUCCCAUAUAAUUCUCAAGGACAAGCCAUAGUGGAAAGAAUGAAUCUCUCCCUGAAACAGCAGUUGCAAAAGCAGAGGGUGGAAAACAGGGACUACGGGACACCCCAUAUGCAACUGAAUCACAGUAUUAACUUUAAAUGUUUUGAGCCUGCCUAAAGGCCGGAUGUUAUCAGCAGCUGAACAGCAUCUACAGAAACCAGCCGCAAAGAUGGAAGCAGAACGACCGACUUGGUGGAGAGACCUGAUAACAAAAAGUUGGGAAAUAGGUAAAAUAGUAACUUGGGGUAGAGGUUAUGCUUCUGUUUCUCCAGGACUGAACCAUCAAGACACUUGAAACCUUAUCAUGAGCCGACGCCGAGGAAGAGAUUCUGGGAGGAUCCCGAGGACCCCCUGGUUCCAGCCAUGUUGAGACUGACACUGAGGGGGACCCCAACUGUCACGAGCAACACCUGUCAAACACAGCCACCGGGGACAGAUCAAGAAGCCGUCACAGAUGGCGGAAGAAACCCUGAGGAAAGCGGGACAGCCAGGCACAAUGAGUAAUUUAAUGGUAGCUGUGACAGCGGUGAUGACCAUUGCUGUGAGUAUUCCUUCAGCCAGGGCUGACACAGAGAACAACUGUACUUAUUGGGCAUAUUUAUCAAUCUUGGCUGGCAGUAGUGCCUGGAUGUAAUCACUCUAUGACACAGUUACACAUGCUUAAUAAAUCUCCUAUAAUUGGGGCAUACCACCCUCAAAAA